This 407-nucleotide ribosomal RNA is filed under the name uncultured bacterium. RNAcentral describes it as "partial 16S ribosomal RNA". It matches the Rfam family "Bacterial small subunit ribosomal RNA", at positions 28 to 526 of the family's 1533-position model. The record is from RNAcentral.
GACGAACGCUGGCGGCGUGCCUAAUACAUGCAAGUAGGACGCAGUUGCGAACGGGUGAGUAACGCGUAGGUAACUGCCUAUUAGAGGGGGAUAACUAUUGGAAACGAUAGCUAAUACCGCAUACUAGUAGAUGGACCUGCGUUGUAUCAGCUAGUAGGUAGGGUAAUGGCCUACCGAGGCAACGAUACAUAGCCGACCUGAGAGGGUGAUCGGCCAAACUGGGACAGAGACACGGCCCAGACUCCUAAGGGAGGCAGCAGUAGGGAAGCUUCGGUAAUGGGGGGAACCCUGACCGAGCAACGCCGCGUGAGUGAAGAAGGUUUUCGGAUAGUAAAGCUCGGUUGUUAAGGAAGCGGUACUUAACCAGAAAGGGACGGCUAACUACGUGCCAGCCGCCGCGGUAAUUC